GGCGGCGUGCCUAAUACAUGCAAGUCGAACGGAAGUAGUAAUACUUUAGUGGCGACCGGGUGCGUAACACGUAGCUAACCUGCCCCUCAGCGGGGGACAACUGUUGGAAACGACAGCUAAUACCGCAUGAUAUUGGAGAGACUAAAUAUCUCCACUUAAACUUACGGGGCUGAGGGAGGGGGCUGCGGCCCAUCAGGUAGUUGGUGAGGUAAAAGCUCACCAAGCCGACGACGGGUAGGGGGCCUGAGAGGGUGGUCCCCCACACUGGGACUGACAACGGCCCAAACUCCUACGGGAGGCAGCAGUAAGGGAUAUUGCGCAAUGGGCGAAAGCCUGACGCAGCAACGCCGCGUGGAGGAUGAAAGCCUUCGGGUCGUAAACUUCUUUUANCACGGACCAGGAAGGACGGUACCUGCGGAAUCAGUCACGGCUAACUACGUGCCAGCAGCCGCGGUAAAACGUACGUGGCAAGCGUUAUCCGGAAUUACUGGGCGUAAAGGGUGUGC
This 506-nucleotide ribosomal RNA is filed under the name uncultured bacterium. Its description in RNAcentral is "bacterial SSU rRNA". It matches the Rfam family "Bacterial small subunit ribosomal RNA", at positions 38 to 572 of the family's 1533-position model. The record is from RNAcentral.